This 209-nucleotide ribosomal RNA is filed under the name Klebsiella pneumoniae. RNAcentral describes it as "partial 23S ribosomal RNA". It matches the Rfam family "Bacterial large subunit ribosomal RNA", at positions 2133 to 2341 of the family's 2925-position model. Lineage: Bacteria; Pseudomonadati; Pseudomonadota; Gammaproteobacteria; Enterobacterales; Enterobacteriaceae. The record is from RNAcentral.
GAUGUGUAGGAUAGGUGGGAGGCUUUGAAGCGUGGACGCCAGUCUGCGUGGAGCCAACCUUGAAAUACCACCCUUUAAUGUUUGAUGUUCUAACGUUGGCCCCUGACCGGGGUUGCGGACAGUGUCUGGUGGGUAGUUUGACUGGGGCGGUCUCCUCCCAAAGCGUAACGGAGGAGCACGAAGGUUAGCUAAUCCUGGUCGGACAUCAG